Molecule: ribosomal RNA, 253 nt
Filed under: uncultured bacterium
Lineage: Bacteria
Description: partial 16S ribosomal RNA
Rfam family: Bacterial small subunit ribosomal RNA
Source: RNAcentral
UACGAAGGGGGCGAGCGUUGUUCGGAAUUACUGGGCGUAAAGGGCGCGUAGGCGGCCGAGCAAGUUAGAUGUGAAAGUCCUGGGCUUAACCUGGGGACUGCAUUUGAUACUGCUUGGCUUGAAUUCGGGAGAGGAUAGCGGAAUUCCCAGUGUAGAGGUGAAAUUCGUAGAUAUUGGGAAGAACACCGGUGGCGAAGGCGGGUCUCUGGGCAGUAACUGACGCUGAGGAGCGAAAGCGUGGGGAGCGAACAGG